AUACUUCAACAGCACAUAUACUAAAAAUUGAAUGGUACAGAGAAGAUUAGCACGGCCCCUGCCCAAGAAUGACACNCAGAUCUGUGAAGUGUUCCCUGUUUUU
This 103-nucleotide small nuclear RNA is filed under the name Neotoma lepida (desert woodrat). Lineage: Eukaryota; Metazoa; Chordata; Mammalia; Rodentia; Cricetidae. The record is from RNAcentral.